This 114-nucleotide small nuclear RNA is filed under the name Myotis davidii. Its description in RNAcentral is "U4 spliceosomal RNA". It matches the Rfam family "U4 spliceosomal RNA". From Rfam's summary of the family: U4 small nuclear RNA (U4 snRNA) is a component of the major U2-dependent spliceosome. The structure of U4 snRNA from yeast and human has been reported. The record is from Rfam by way of RNAcentral. Lineage: Eukaryota; Metazoa; Chordata; Mammalia; Chiroptera; Vespertilionidae.
AGCUUUGUGCAGUAUCAUAGCCAAUGAGGUUUAUCCGAGGCUCAAUUAUUGCUAAUUGAAAAAAAAUUAUUUCUAUGUUAUAUUUUUAAGCAAUUGUGAAAGAGGCUGUUUUUU